Molecule: ribosomal RNA, 253 nt
Filed under: uncultured bacterium
Lineage: Bacteria
Description: partial 16S ribosomal RNA
Rfam family: Bacterial small subunit ribosomal RNA
Source: RNAcentral
GACAGAGGCCUCAAGCGUUAGGCGGAAUCACUGGGCUUAAAGCGUGUGUAGGCGGAUCGUUAAGUGUCUUGUGAAAUCCCACGGCUCACCCGUGGAACUGCUGGGCAUACUGGCGAUCUUGGGCCAACUAGGGGCAACUGGAACAAGCGGUGGAGCGGUGAAAUGCGUAGAUAUCAUUUGGAACGCCAACGGAGAAAUCAGGUAGCUGGGGGUGUGCUGACGCUGAGACACGAAAGCCAGGGGAGCGAACGGG